Long non-coding RNA from Eriocheir sinensis (Chinese mitten crab), 670 nucleotides. RefSeq lists it as uncharacterized. Lineage: Eukaryota; Metazoa; Arthropoda; Malacostraca; Decapoda; Varunidae. The transcript is spliced from 5 exons. The record is from RefSeq and is a predicted model, not a curated record.
AAGCUGAAGCCUCGGAGCUUGGACACAGCGGCGAGCAGGAGCGGGAGGUCGUGUGAACCGUCAGGGAUCUAUUUCAUCUUAGUUUUCUGAGUUUGGUGUAACGUGCGCGACCCUCGUCCUCAUCGUCGUGAUUACAAAGACGUCGGCAAAGCGAGGAGGUUAGCAGGUGACAGGUGAGCCGCCCUCCAGCCAAGGCCACGUCCGAAGCUUCAUGUUCCACGGGCAAUCGUCACCCAACACUGGCCGCUCCAGAAGGCAGCACUGCUUGCCAAGCUGCAUCAUGAUCACCAGAGACUUCCAAAUAAAGAAACGGUGGAGGCCACAGCACCUGAAAGAGAGGUGACAUUCCAUGGAUAGAGACAAAAGACCACCGCCUCCCUCGCCUUCUGCCUGACUACCAAGGCAGCCCCACAGCUGAAUCUGCUGCUGCUCUUCGACACUGCUUGUAAUGGAUGCUGCGUCCACUUGUAGAACGUCGACAUCUGCCAACGGAAGAAUAUCAUCUGGAAGAACACCUAUACGUAUCACAACGUUUCCUUUCCAUUAUGAUGCUGGUGAACCCUAGCGGCCUUGCCUGCUAUGUUGGGGUAGGUGCUCGUCGCCAGCUGGCCGUUAACUCUUGUGGGAGGGAUGGGCCGGAGCUCCAGGAGGUAAGGUGAAUGGCUGCCUG